Molecule: long non-coding RNA, 410 nt
Filed under: Mytilus galloprovincialis (Mediterranean mussel)
Lineage: Eukaryota; Metazoa; Mollusca; Bivalvia; Mytilida; Mytilidae
Source: RNAcentral
GUGGGGAUCUGACUGUUUUUAAGUAUUCAAACAUGAGGGGUUAGGUGGGGUGACACCAUGGACUCAACCUAAAUUUAAUUAAUUUGAUUUGUUUUAUGGUCCUGUGAUCAUUACUGAAAACCAUGUGUGUCUGUCACUUACUGUUUUCUUCAAGUUUAUAAUUUAUUAUUGUUAUUGAAAAUUUAAAAAAAAAUCCCUUAGGGUUCUUUAGUAAAUUCCUCCCUUCUGUUGGCCCCUCAAAAUACAACUAAAUAGACCCCAAGGAGAAAAAUAAUAAGAACUGAGCAAAAACUUUGUUUAGGAGUCUUAAUAGCAAUUAGUAUAAUUACGAUUUUUGUUAUAGUCCGAUUUCUAAUGCCGAAUAUGUAAAAGGCCGAGUUUAUUAUAGUCCGAGUUUGUUGUGGGCCGAG